RNAcentral lists this ribosomal RNA (1212 nucleotides) under Triticum aestivum (bread wheat). Its description in RNAcentral is "partial small subunit ribosomal RNA". The record is from RNAcentral. Lineage: Eukaryota; Viridiplantae; Streptophyta; Magnoliopsida; Poales; Poaceae.
AUGCAGCCCCUCCAAUUUUCAAACAAGACACGCAACAACAAAAUGCACAUACCUUCCCUCGGCCUCGCUCUUGUGCUGCUGAUCUCUUUGGCCUCUCCCGCAAGUUCCUGCACACAGCAUGAGAAGAACUCCCUUCUCCAGUUCCUUGCCGAGCUCUCACAGGACGGUGGCCUUGCAGCCUCAUGGCGGAACAACACGGAUUGCUGCAAGUGGGAAGGGAUCACCUGCAGGAAAGAUAUGACGGUCACCGAAAUCUUGCUGCCUUCGAAGGGCCUCCAGGGGAAAAUCUCACAGUCCCUUGGGAUCCUCACCGGGCUGCAGUACCUUGACCUCUCUCACAACUCGCUGUCCGGUGGUCUGCCGCUGGAAUUGGUGCCGUCCAGCAGCAUCAUCUUCCUUGAUGUAAGCUUUAACCAGCUCAAUGGGACACUCCACGAGUUGUCAUCUUCAACCCCUGCCCGGCCUCUGCAGGUACUGAACAUCUCAAGCAACCUAUUUGCAGGACAGUUUCCAUCCACCACAUGGAAAGCAAUGGAGAAUCUGAUAGCACUCAACGCAAGUAAUAACAGCUUUACAGGGCACAUACCAACUCAUUUCUGUAGCAGUUCACCAUCCCUAGCCGUGCUAAAUCUGUGUUUAAACAAAUUCAGUGGCAACAUCCCCAAACAACUUGGUGAUUGCUCCAAGCUGAGGGAGCUCAGGGCCGGGUACAACAACAUCAGCGGAGAAGUCCCAGAUGAACUCUUCAAUGCUACUUUGUUGGAAUACCUGUCUUUUCCUAAAAAUUAUUUAAAUGGAGCUAUUAAUGAUGCACACCUGCCCAACCUCAGAAAUCUAGUAACGCUUGAUCUUGGAGGGAACAUUUUCAGUGGCAAGAUUCCUGAUUCCAUAGGCCAGCUCAAGAAAUUGGAGUUGUUCCAUAUGGACAACAACAACAUGUCAGGGGAGCUGCCAUAUGCUCUAAGCAACUGCACGAAUCUCAGAAUAAUCGACCUCAAGACAAACAACUUCAGUGGACAGCUCAAUAAGGUCAAUUUCUCCAGCCUGCCCAAUCUAAAGAUAUUAGACCUUCUGUACAACAGCUUCUCUGGCACAAUUCCAGAAAGUAUAUACUCUUGCAGCAACCUGACUGCACUGCGGCUGUCUAGCAACCAUUUAGAUGGGCAGCUUUCACCACGAAUUGGCGAUCUGAAGUACCUCACCUUCCUAUAA